ACUCAAAGGAAUUGACGGGGGCCCGCACAAGCAGCGGAGCAUGUGGUUUAAUUCGAAGCAACGCGAAGAACCUUACCAGGUCUUGACAUCCAGUAAAACUUGUAGAGAUAUGAGGUGCCUUCGGGCAUACUGAGACAGGUGGUGCAUGGUUGUCGUCAGCUCGUGUCGUGAGAUGUUGGGUUAAGUCCCGCAACGAGCGCAACCCUUGCCGAUAGUUACUAACGGGUGAAGCCGAGGACUCUAUUGGGACCGCCGGGGACAACUCGGAGGAAGGUGGGGACGACGUCAAAUCAUCAUGCCCCUUAUGACCUGGGCUACACACGUGCUACAAUGGCCGAGACAGAGAGGAGCGAAGGCGCGAGCCGGAGCGGAUCUCAAAAAAGCGGUCACAGUUCGGAUUGUGGGCUGCAACCCGCCCGCAUGAAGCAGGAGUUGCUAGUAAUCGCGAAUCAGCAUGUCGCGGUGAAUACGUUCCCGGGCCUUGUACACACCGCCCGU
RNAcentral lists this ribosomal RNA (498 nucleotides) under uncultured bacterium. Its description in RNAcentral is "bacterial SSU rRNA". It matches the Rfam family "Bacterial small subunit ribosomal RNA", at positions 899 to 1397 of the family's 1533-position model. The record is from RNAcentral.